Molecule: ribosomal RNA, 157 nt
Filed under: Endomicrobium sp.
Lineage: Bacteria; Pseudomonadati; Elusimicrobiota; Endomicrobiia; Endomicrobiales; Endomicrobiaceae
Description: partial 23S ribosomal RNA
Rfam family: Bacterial large subunit ribosomal RNA
Source: RNAcentral
GGACGAGAUAAACACUGAAAGCAUAUAAGUGUGAAACUCACCUCAAGAUAAGGUUUCCCUGAAGGGCACUUGUAGACUACAAGUUUGAUAGGUUGGAAGUGGAAGUGCAGUAAUGCAUGCAGCUAACCAAUACUAAUUGCCCGUUCGGCUUGGCCAC